CGUCGUCAGCUUACCCCGUGAAGGACUAACAGUAAGCAAAAUUGGCAUAGCCAAAAACGUCAGGUCGAGGUGUAGCGAAUGAAGUGGGAAGAAAUGGGCUACAUUUUCUAUUUACAGAAUAAACGAAUGACACCCUGAAAACAUGUCUGAAGGUGGAUUUAGUAGUAAAAAGCAAAUAGUGUAUCCUUUUGAAUUAGGCUCUGAGACGCGCACACACCGCCCGUCACUCUCCCCCCAUAAACACCAAACAAUUAAUUCUUAAUAUCCCAGCCAUCUAUAUCGGGGAGGCAAGUCGUAACAUGG
Molecule: ribosomal RNA, 303 nt
Filed under: Cetopsorhamdia nasus
Lineage: Eukaryota; Metazoa; Chordata; Actinopteri; Siluriformes; Heptapteridae
Description: partial small subunit ribosomal RNA
Source: RNAcentral